AUGGAAAGUGAUGGAAUGCCUCUGGAUACUCCAGGUUUGUCAUUGGUAACCAGGUGCAGUAACACAUGAAAAGUCAAACAAACAUUGUCCCACAGCAACAAUCGCUACAGAAGUGACAUUUAUUGACAUUCUGCUGUAUUUACAGGUUGAACAUAGUAAAACUCCAAAGUGAAUGACCACUUGGCAGAAAGCACAGGAGUGCACAUUAAAUCUACAUUUCCAACGCAUCAGAGUCUCUGCUAACACAAAUUAUAAAAGCAAGAAUUACAGGUAUGUUAGGAAUUGUCUCAAAAGUCCCAAGCCAAAGAAAAAAGAAAGGCCUUUGUUUUGCAAGAUGGUUUUUAUACAAAGUUGCAACAUGAUCUUUCAGUUUUACACUACAGACUCGUUCUGUGAAAACCCCUGGAGAGCCCAAACAGUUGGUGGUGCGAAAGGAAAGGAUACUACAACACCGAGAAUAAAGACUGUUAAAAGUUAAUACUUGUGCCACCUCUAAAUUCCCAAUGCCACCUCUGAGUCUGGACUGCAGCAAGCUCUGUUCCUCCACAGGCCCCCAGUGCUGGGAUUGCAGGAGCACAGCCACCCUGCACUGCCAGCUCAGCUCCAGAGCCACCCCCAACAGCACAUGGGGACAGGGAUGGACAGGGAUGGACACAGGGACAGGGAUGGACAGGGAUGGACAGGGAUGGACAGGGAUGGACAGGGAUGGACAGGAGAGGACACAGAGCACACGGAGAUACAUGGGCUGUACAGGACACAGAGCACACACAGACUGUCCAGGACAGGGUGACACUGCACAGGACACAGUGUCACACCCUGCACAGGACAGUGUCAAACAGCACAGGACAGUGUCACACCCUGCUCAGCACAGGCACAGCUCCCAGGCUGGAGGAGGAACUAAAGCAAGCCUGGCCCCUGCUGGCCCUGCUUUGGCUCCCGCUGCCCAAGCACCACAAACUCGGGCUGAACGCCUUCAUCAGCACGCCACAGACUCACUGCAAGAGCUGCUUCAAACAUUAGCCACUAAUGAGUCAACAAUUACAGAAUUCUGCGUUAAUUAUUAA
Molecule: long non-coding RNA, 1064 nt
Filed under: Cyanistes caeruleus (blue tit)
Lineage: Eukaryota; Metazoa; Chordata; Aves; Passeriformes; Paridae
Description: lncRNA (ENSCCEG00000007002.1)
Source: RNAcentral